RNAcentral lists this ribosomal RNA (680 nucleotides) under uncultured bacterium. RNAcentral describes it as "bacterial SSU rRNA". It matches the Rfam family "Bacterial small subunit ribosomal RNA", at positions 215 to 886 of the family's 1533-position model. The record is from RNAcentral.
GCGCUGAUUGAGCGGCCGAUAUCAGAUUAGCUAGUUGGUGGGGUAAAGGCCUACCAAGGCUACGAUCUGUAGCGGGUCUGAGAGGAUGAUCCGCCACACUGGAACUGAGACACGGUCCAGACUCCUACGGGAGGCAGCAGUGGGGAAUUUUGGACAAUGGGGGCAACCCUGAUCCAGCCAUGCCGCGUGAGUGAAGAAGGCCUUCGGGUUGUAAAGCUCUUUCGGCCGGGAAGAAAUCGCAUAGGUUAAUACCCUGUGUGGAUGACGGUACCGGAAUAAGAAGCACCGGCUAACUACGUGCCAGCAGCCGCGGUAAUACGUAGGGUGCGAGCGUUAAUCGGAAUUACUGGGCGUAAAGCGUGCGCAGGCGGUUUCGUAAGACAGAGGUGAAAUCCCCGGGCUCAACCUGGGAACUGCCUUUGUGACUGCGAAGCUAGAGUACGGCAGAGGGGGGUGGAAUUCCACGUGUAGCAGUGAAAUGCGUAGAGAUGUGGAGGAACACCGAUGGCGAAGGCAGCCCCCUGGGCCGAUACUGACGCUCAUGCACGAAAGCGUGGGUAGCAAACAGGAUUAGAUACCCUGGUAGUCCACGCCCUAAACGAUGUCAACUAGGUGUUGGGUGGGUAAAACCAUUUAGUACCGUAGCUAACGCGUGAAGUUGACCGCCUGGGGAGUACGGC